UAUAGUCUCUUGUCGACCUCAGAUCAAGCGAGAUUACCCCCUGAAU
RNAcentral lists this ribosomal RNA (46 nucleotides) under Proctophyllodes ateri. Its description in RNAcentral is "partial 28S ribosomal RNA". The record is from RNAcentral. Lineage: Eukaryota; Metazoa; Arthropoda; Arachnida; Sarcoptiformes; Proctophyllodidae.